GUAGGUAAGGGAAGUCGGCAAAAUGGUUCCGCAACUUCGGGAGAAGGAAUGGCUCUGAAGGCUGGGUGCGGGGGUCCUCCGCUUGAGGCCGGCUGGCUGCGCUGGGACUACGGCCUUUGCGCCGCGGACCCGGCGCGGCCGUCCGGCGGACGGCGGAGGAGCGCUCCGGCAUUCCCCGCACGCUGAACAGCCGCUUCAGAACUGGCGCGGACAAGGGGAAUCCGA
RNAcentral lists this ribosomal RNA (225 nucleotides) under Rhizochromulina marina. RNAcentral's name for it is "partial Eukaryotic large subunit ribosomal RNA". It matches the Rfam family "Eukaryotic large subunit ribosomal RNA", at positions 1900 to 2137 of the family's 3401-position model. Lineage: Eukaryota; Dictyochophyceae; Rhizochromulinales. The record is from RNAcentral.